UAAUUUUAAUUGUUUAUUAAAAUAAAUUAAUUUAAUUAAAAUAAAUUAUUAUAUUUAUAUAGUAUUAGUGGUAUAGAGGUAAUUAUUAAUUAAAGUACUGUAAAGGUAAAUUUACAUAUAGUUGUUUAAUAGUAGAGGUUUAUAUUCGUACCUUUUGUAUAAUGAAUUAAUGAUAGAUUCAAUUUAAUUAAAGAGUCUCGAAUAUAAAAAGAUUUACUUAAUAUUUAGUGUUAACGUAGUAAAGUUAUAUUUUUAAUAUUAAGUGGUAAUGAAAUGUUUUUCGUUUUUUAUGAUAGCUAGUUUAUGGGUGUGGAAUAUUUUAGUAUUGUGAUAUUAAUAUAGUUUAAAUUAUUUUAAUAUUAUUUAUUUUAUAAGGGAUAAGCUUUAUAAAAGGAAAUAGAAUAUUUAUAUAUUAUUUUGUGUUUUUAAGUAGAAUUAAAAUUGUUUUUCUUAUAAAUAUAGUAUAAAUUGUUUACAUAUGUAUUAUUCAGAUUGAUAAACUUAUAAAUGUUUAAUAAUUAAUAAUAAAUAAAUAUAAUGUUAGUAUGAGUAUUAAAAAGUAAUUAAAUAUUAUAAUUUAUUUGAGUUGUAUAUUUUUAUAAUAUUAUUUUUAGUGAAGUAAAAUAAAGGAAUUUGGCAAAUAUAAAUCUCGCCUGUUUAUCAAAAACAUGUCUCUUUGUAUUUAAUAAAUAAAGAGUUGGGCCUGCUCAGUGAUAUAGAUUUAACAGCUGCGGUAUUUUAACUGUACUAAGGUAGCAUAAUAAUUUGCCUUAUAAAUUGAGGCUAGAAUGAAUGGUUUGACGAAGGUUUAUCUGUCUCUAUUUUAUUUAAUAGAAGUUAAUUUUUUAGUGAAAAAGCUAAAAUAUUUUAAAGGGACGAGAAGACCCUAUUGAGCUUAAAUUUAAUAAUAUUGUGUUUACAGUAUUUUAGUAAAUUUUAAUUGGGGUGAUUAAGGAAUAAAAAUAUAUUAAAUAGUAACUUCCUUAAUUGUGUAAUACUGUUAGGUUAAGUAACCAAUAAUAUUGCUUAUAAUAAAGUUACCAUAGGGAUAACAGCGUAAUUUAUUUAGAGAGUUCUUAUUGAAAAAUAAGAUUGCGACCUCGAUGUUGGAUUAAAGUAACCUUAAGGUGCAGAAGCUUUAUAUGGUAAAUCUGUUCGAUUUUUAAAACUUUACAUGAUCUGAGUUCAGACCGGUGUGAGCCAGGUCGGUUUCUAUCUUUUGAAAUAGAAGAUUUUUUUUUUAGUACGAAAGGACCAAAAAAAUUAAUAGGAUUAAUUU
RNAcentral lists this ribosomal RNA (1279 nucleotides) under Acanthosepion pharaonis. RNAcentral's name for it is "Sepia pharaonis 16S ribosomal RNA". The stretch from base 844 to 1279 matches the Rfam family "Bacterial large subunit ribosomal RNA", at positions 2048 to 2716 of the family's 2925-position model. Lineage: Eukaryota; Metazoa; Mollusca; Cephalopoda; Sepiida; Sepiidae. The record is from RNAcentral.